This 2524-nucleotide unclassified non-coding RNA is filed under the name Hevea brasiliensis (rubber tree). The record is from RNAcentral. Lineage: Eukaryota; Viridiplantae; Streptophyta; Magnoliopsida; Malpighiales; Euphorbiaceae.
AAUAUUCUAUUUUCGCUGCUUAUCAUUUGGCUUUAGAAACAUCCUUUCUUGCUGAUGAAGGAGCUUCUCUUCCUGAACUUCCUUUGGAUUCUCCGAUAACUGUGGCACUUCCAGAUAAGCCAUUAACAAUCGACAGAUCCAUCUCAACUAUACCUGGUUUUAUGAUUCCUGCCGAUGAAAGAACUCUAGGGCCGCUAUCUGGCAGUGAGCCACAAAGGUCAAUGAGUGCUCCGCCAACUGGCCUGGUCAAGGCUGUCAGCAAUUGUGCUCAGAAAAUGGGUGUGUUAGAGUCUCCUGGAUUGUGUGCUACUAAAGACAACUUCUCUUCCUUCUGUAAGCCCUCUCUUGAUCAUGAAUCUGAGAUAGGUAUCAUGGAUAUGAUGAAGUGCUCUGAGGUAAAAGCAUCAGUAGCCAACGAUGUCCAAGAUGCCCAUGGAAACAAGUUCCUUUCUACUAGUUUUGGUCCUUCACAGGAGGUUGAUCAAGACAUGUUGUCACAGAGUGUUCAAAAUGAUUGCAAUACUAUGGAUGUGAACCAAGGUGGGGAAGACGCCCCUGAUGAUUUGACUUCUUUGAAGAAAGAGUUCUCUCCAUCUCCAUCCGACAAUCAAAGCAUUUUGGUUUCCUUGUCGUCUCGAUGUGUUUGGAAGGGAACUGUCUGUGAUAAGUCUCGUCUCUUUCGGAUUAAAUACUAUGGCAACGUAGAUAAGCCAUUGGGUCGUUUUCUACGAGACCAAUUGUUUGAUCAAAGUUACAGGUGUCAUUCAUGUGAGAUGCCUUCAGAAGCUCAUGUUCAGUGUUAUACACACCGACAGGGUACUCUAACUAUUUCUGUUAAGAAGCUGCUGGAAGUUCUUUUGCCAGGUGAAAAGGAAGGAAAAAUAUGGAUGUGGCGCAGAUGCCUUAAAUGUCCACGCGAUAAUAAGGGCUUUCCUCCAGCAACUCGGAGAGUAGUAAUGUCUGAUGCUGCUUGGGGCUUGUCCUUAGGGAAGUUUCUAGAACUUAGCUUUUCAAACCACGCAGCUGCAAGUAGGGUGGCAAACUGUGGUCAUUCAUUACAUAGAGAUUGUCUUCGAUUUUACGGCUUCGGAAAGAUGGUUGCUUGCUUUCGCUAUGCAUCCAUUGAUGUUCACUCAGUAUACCUUCCUCCCUCAAAACUGGAUUUCAACUAUGAGAAUCAGGAAUGGAUAGAACAUGAAGUGAAUGAGGUCAUUUUCCGAGCUGAACUUUUGUUCGCUGAGGUCCUUAAUGCAAUUCGGCUUUUGGUAGAGAAGAGAUCUGGGAGACAACUUAACAGCAGCAUUAAUGUACCUGAAGCAAGACGUCAGAUUUCUGAUUUGGAAGGGAUGUUGCAGAAGGAGAAACAAGAAUUUGAGGAAUCUCUCCAGAGAAUUCUGAUGGAGGAAGUUAAAAAGGGGCAGUCUGUUGAUAUUUUGGAGAUCAAUCGAUUGAGAAGACAGCUCCUUUUUCAAUCUUAUGUUUGGGACCACCGUCUAGUAUAUGCAGCCAGUAUGGAUGACAAGAGUCAUUGGUUUAGUGGAGAUGUCACCUCUUUGGAACCUGAGAAACCGUUGGUUUGUGAUGAUAAGUCCACUGACCUGGAUAAUUGUGCUGAUCCCAGCAACUGUCCUAAUAGCUCUGAAUCUGUUCCCGCAAUUUUAAAGGCUGGUGAAAAUGGGGAUGAAGGAAGAAGUGUUGGCCAAAACAGUCACGUGGAUGCUGUUCAUCAAGAAUCUGCAGUUGAUUUUGAUGCUGAUUGUGCAAUCGAAAAACCACCUGGUCUUCCUGUUGCAACAAAAAGUUUCUGCGGAUCACAUCCCGAAGAAUCCAUAUUACAGCGGCGAAGAGCACUAUCCGCUGGGCAGUUCCCAAACAUGGAGAGUUUGUCAGAUACUCUCGAGGCAGCUUGGACUGGUGAAACAACUUCCGGUGUUGUAGUGAUAAAGGGUGAUACCUGUAAAUCUUCUGAACCACAUCUGGUGAAUACACUUACAACUGGAAUGGCUGAAAAAGUGUAUACUGAAGACCAUGCGACUAUGCUGUCUCAAACUCCCUCUCUUUUAGCCUCUAAAGGCUCCGAAAACAUGGAAGACGCUGGGAGCUGGUUAGGUGUUUCUUUUAUUAGCUUCUACAGGACGCUGAACAAAAACUUUUUACCAAGUGCUCAGAAACUGGAUCCACUUGGGGGAUAUAAUCCAGUAUACAUUUCAUCAUUUCGGGAGUCAGAUGCCCAAAGUGGAGCAAGAUUGCUCCUACCUGUUGGGGUUAAUGAUACUGUUAUACCAGUGUAUGAUGAUGAGCCCACGAGUAUUAUAUCUUAUGCUCUAGCGUCUCAUGAUUAUCAUGCUCAACUAUCCGGUGAGCUCGAGAAAUCUAAGGAUGCUUCUUUGGACUCUAACUUUUCGUUCCACUCACUGGAUUCCAGUAAUCUGCACUCCCCUCAAUCAGUUGAUGAAAUGUUUUUAGAAUCCUACAGAAGUCUUGGAUCCAUGGAUGAGAGUCUCUUGUCCUUGCCCAUUUCUCG